Molecule: non-coding RNA, 29 nt
Filed under: Homo sapiens (human)
Lineage: Eukaryota; Metazoa; Chordata; Mammalia; Primates; Hominidae
Source: RNAcentral
UCUGCCAAAAUGGCAUCUGUCAGCUCUUC